Non-coding RNA from Cinara cedri, 220 nucleotides. Lineage: Eukaryota; Metazoa; Arthropoda; Insecta; Hemiptera; Aphididae. The record is from the annotation of a GenBank genome assembly.
AAACGAGACAUCAAUAAACAUUUCUAAAAGGUCUGAAUGAAAAAAAAAAAGACGACUUAGGAUUUAGAAGGACAAGUGUAGCCACUGUUAUAGAUAUUUUAAUUUAUACCUGUAAGCAACGAUAAACCAUUGCUUACGAAAAAUCGAUUCUGAGCAGAGUUCAGUUGAUAGUGAUGUUUUGUCAACAAUGUAUAUGUUUCCUCAAUAUAUAUGACUUCUC